This 468-nucleotide ribosomal RNA is filed under the name uncultured bacterium. RNAcentral's name for it is "partial 16S ribosomal RNA". It matches the Rfam family "Bacterial small subunit ribosomal RNA", at positions 28 to 507 of the family's 1533-position model. The record is from RNAcentral.
GACGAACGCUGGCGGCGUGCUUAACACAUGCAAGUCGAACGGAAAGGCCCUGCUUUUGUGGGGUGCUCGAGUGGCGAACGGGUGAGUAACACGUGAGUAACCUGCCCUUGACUUUGGGAUAACUUCAGGAAACUGGGGCUAAUCCCGGAUAGGAGCUCCUGCUGCAUGGUGGGGGUUGGAAAGUUUCGGCGGUUGGGGAUGGACUCGCGGCUUAUCAGCUUGUUGGUGGGGUAGUGGCUUACCAAGGCUUUGACGGGUAGCCGGCCUGAGAGGGUGACCGGCCACAUUGGGACUGAGAUACGGCACAGACUCCUACGGUAGGCAGCAGUGGGGAAUAUUGCACAAUGGGCGGAAGCCUGAUGCAGCAACGCCGCGUGCGGGAUGACGGCCCUCGGGUUGUAAACCGCUUUCGCCUGUGACGAAGCGUGAGUGACGGUAAUGGAUAAAGAAGCACCGGCUAACUACGUG